UAGCAUCAAAGCACAAGUUAAAAGAGAGAAAGCUAGAUAUGAGAAGGGGUUGUCUCUUAACACCAAAAGUGGCAGCAACAUCUGGGAUGGAAGGCGAAAUGAUGACGCGACAGAUAUGUAAGAGAACAGCCCUGAUUUGGACAAGCAAGUGAGAUCUGCACAAUAUAGAUAUGCGCACUAGAGAAACAAGUUGGAUCAAGAUCUGCGUGAAAGGAGCUACUGGUGCUAGACGCUGUGGUUGGGAGAGAAACAUAGGAUCCGUGAAACUAGAAGGUGAGUCGCACAGCGGAAGAAGGUCUGUUGGUUCGCGGGGCGACGAAUUUUGACUAAGUGUUGCUCGAUCAGAUCUGUUGCGUUGAGGAAGACAUAUUUGUCCAUGCGCGAUUUUUUUGAAACCAGAUGGUUGGAGAAGAACCAACAACGACAUUUCAGAUCUGUUCAGAUAUGUGUGAAGAGAGAUCAAAUUUAAGUAGUUUCAGUGUGAUUUCACCAAUAUCCAGUUUGAUUUGAAGAGCUGUGGGUUUCUUUGCUGAUUUUUGAUUAGUUUGAGGUAGUGCGUAGUGUCCAAUGGUGGCGCAUCUGGCAGUACAUGGAGUACUGGUUACAGCGCGUUCGCCGGCGUGUGGUGGCACGUGGGAACACGUGUAGUGCUUUAAUGGUUACUCGCAACAGAGUUUUGUGCAGUGGUGUUUUCCUGAGUGGUUUUUUAUUUCUUACAUUGGUAUUUCUCUCUUUUUUUUAAUACAUAGUGUAGGAAUUUAAAAUAACAUUCGCAAAGUAUAAGAUAGAAAAGUUUGAUGGUAAAUUGAGUUUCAGUAUAUGGAAAAUCAAGAUAAAGUAAUUUUUGGUUUUACAAGAUUUAUAGGAGACAAUUGAAGAAUAGGAUAAGAGUCAGAUAAGGCAUAUCUAUAAGAUAAAGACUUAUGUGCGAUUUUUAUGAGUGUGAUUAAUAAUAUUUUGUGAUAAAUUAUUGAAAAAAGUUUGGCUUUAGCUGUGUGGAAGAGACUAUAAGAGUUAUACUCUAUAAAAUCGAUGACAAACCAUCUUUGUUUGAAAAAAAAAUUAUACAAUUUGAGAAUGAGUGAAGGUAGACCUAUUAAAUAAUAUAUUGAUGAAUUUAUUUCAAUCAUUAUGGACAGAAAGAAAAAUGAAAGGAAUAUGCUGGACAAUUCUUAGUUUAGUGUGAUGAGAUAAGGGGAAUUCAAUUUAUAGAAUUUUACAGUGAAUCAAAACUGUAUAAGUGGUCACUUGAGUGAUUUAUAGCUUUCCAUAAAGGACAAAGUUUGUUACAACAAAUUCUUGUUGUGUAGUGUAGGUUGCAGGCUGUGCAGUGCAGAUUGUAGGUGCAAUGCUAAUGGUGUUCCUGUUGGCUGUUACAUGUUCCUUUACGCCCCCUUUCAAAUUUGGCAGUGGUAGAGGUCUCUCAACUACUCCAAGUUUGUUUCUUGAGUUAUAGAAUUGUAUUCCCCUUUGAGCUUUGGUUAGACAAUCUGUUAUUUGAUCUUGUGACGUACAUAUCUCACCUCAAAUUUUCUAUCUAGGACCUUAUCUCUGAUGAAAUGAAUGUCUACUUCUUUGUGUUUGGUCCUCGCAUGAAAGACUGGAUUAUUUGCCAAUUGGCUUGCAUUCAAGUUAUCACACCAAGUUAUAGGGACUUCUGAAAGGGGAAUGAACAAUUCUUUGAGUAGAGACUCUAACCAAGCAGUCUCACAUGACACAUGUGCCAAUGCCCUGUACUCAAAUUCCUUGCUUGAUCUUGAAACAACUCUUUGCCUUUUUGAGCUCCAAGAAACUAGAUUAGAACCAAAAUAAAUGUAGUAGCCAAUAGUUGAUCUUUUGUCCUCUCUAUUACAUGCCCAAUCUGCACCAGAAUAACCAGUGAGUGUAUAACUGCUACAUAGUUGAAUAUGUAGGCCAAAAUUCUUUGUGCCCUUUAGAUAUCUCAGUAUCCUCUUUACUGCUUGCAUAUGCUUUAUUGUUGGUUGCUGUAGGAACUGGCUCAGCUUGUUUAUAAUGUAGGCAAGGUCAGGUCUUGUAUGAGUUAUGUAUUGCAGUGCACCUUUAAUUCUUCUGUAGGUUGUAGGACUUAUGAGAGGUUCACCUUCUCGAGUUGCUUGAGUAGCAUUGAGAGCUGUUGGUGUUGAACAUGAUUUUGAGUUCUCCAUGCUUGUUUUCCUAAGCAAAUCUUCUAUGUAUUGGGUUUGUGUAAGAAAGAUUCCUGUUUCAUCUCUGGUUGCCUCAUACCAAGAAAUAGAUGCAGCGAACCCAGAUCCUUCAAGACAAAUUUCUUGUCCAAUUCUUGCACAAAUCCUUUUGACAG
Molecule: long non-coding RNA, 2320 nt
Filed under: Carica papaya (papaya)
Lineage: Eukaryota; Viridiplantae; Streptophyta; Magnoliopsida; Brassicales; Caricaceae
Description: long non-coding RNA (CPAP_LNC010449)
Source: RNAcentral